AUACGUAGGUGACAAGCGUUAUCCGGAUUUACUGGGCGUAAAGGGCGUGUAGGCGGUCUUGCAAGUCAGAAGUGAAAUUCCUGAGCUCAACUCGGGCGCUGCUUCUGAAACUGCAGGACUUGAGUGCUGGAGGGGAUAGCGGAAUUCCUAGUGGAGCGGUAAAAUGCGCAGAUAUUAGGAAGAACACCGGUGGCGAAGGCGGCUAUCUGGACAGUAACUGACGCUGAGGCGCGAAAGCGUGGGGAGCAAACAGGAUUAGAUACCCUGGUAGUCCACGCUGUAAACGAUGAUUACUGGGUGUAGGGGGUAUCGACUCCCUCUGUGCCGCAGUUAACGCAUUAAGUAUUCCACCUGGGGAGUACGAUCGCAAGAUUGAAACUCAAAUGAAUUGACGGGA
This 397-nucleotide ribosomal RNA is filed under the name uncultured bacterium. RNAcentral's name for it is "partial 16S ribosomal RNA". It matches the Rfam family "Bacterial small subunit ribosomal RNA", at positions 523 to 918 of the family's 1533-position model. The record is from RNAcentral.